This is a long non-coding RNA of Ruditapes philippinarum (Manila clam), 372 nucleotides long. RefSeq lists it as uncharacterized. The transcript is spliced from 2 exons. Lineage: Eukaryota; Metazoa; Mollusca; Bivalvia; Venerida; Veneridae. The record is from RefSeq and is a predicted model, not a curated record.
UCUUUUUUUAAUGAAGUUUAUUCAUUUUUUUCUCUAUCUCUGUGGAAAUACUCAGAAGUAGAAUUGUUAAAUGUUAUAUUUAUGAAAAAAAUAAAAGCAUUCCGCAUUUUCAGACAAUGUUCAAUUGUAAUUAAAGGUUCCAGUACAUUUAUAAUAAUGGCUUAAAUUAAGGUUAUUUUUAUAAUGAUUUUAACGGAUGUUAACGUUUCUUGAUGAAUAUGUAGUCAUGGUAGUAUAAUUUCUACAUUAUUUACAAAACAUACAUAAUUUUAUAUUUGUAAAAUGCUUUAAAUUGAGUUAGAUAUAACUGCUCAAAUAGUAGUGAUUUCACUAAAAUGUUAUUAAAGGAAUUAGAACAUUGAAAAAAAUAUA